GACGAACGCUGGCGGCGUGCUUAACACAUGCAAGUCGAACGGAAAGGCCCUGCUUUUGUGGGGUGCUCGAGUGGCGAACGGGUGAGUAACACGUGAGAAACCUGCCCUUUACUUUGGGAUAACUGCAGGAAACUGGGGCUAAUACCGGAUAUGAGCUCCUGCUGCAUGGUGGGGGUUGGAAAGUUUCGGCGGUUGGGGAUGGACUCGCGGCUUAUCAGCUUGUUGGUGGGGUAGUGGCUUACCAAGGCUUUGACGGGUAGCCGGCCUGAGAGGGUGACCGGCGACAUUGGGACUGAGAUAAGGCCCAGACUCCUACGGGAGGCAGCAGUGGGGAAUAUUGCACAAUGGGCGGAAGCCUGAUGCAGCAACGCCGCGUGCGGGAUGACGGCCUUCGGGUUGUAAACCGCUUUCGCCUGUGACGAAGCGUGAGUGACGGUAAUGGGUAAAGAAGCACCGGCUAACUACGUG
Molecule: ribosomal RNA, 468 nt
Filed under: uncultured bacterium
Lineage: Bacteria
Description: partial 16S ribosomal RNA
Rfam family: Bacterial small subunit ribosomal RNA
Source: RNAcentral